GUAACUUAUUCCACAAUUUAAUAGACGAAGGAAGGAAAUAAUCGGAGUAAAGAUUAGUUCUUGCACGAAUUUCCGAAGUAUUUUGAGUCUGACGAGUAAAAUGGUUAUGUAAAUUAACUAUUUGAUUUGGUACCAAGUUUUGUAAAUAAUCUGGAGUUACCUUAUGUACCAUUUUAUAAAACAUAGUGAGCUUGUGUUUUUCCCUUCUUUCUGAAAGUGUUUCCCAACCCGUUUCCUCAUAAAGCUUCUGUAUCGAAGUUAAUUUAUUCCUAC
Molecule: long non-coding RNA, 273 nt
Filed under: Mytilus galloprovincialis (Mediterranean mussel)
Lineage: Eukaryota; Metazoa; Mollusca; Bivalvia; Mytilida; Mytilidae
Source: RNAcentral